ACGGGAGGCAGCAGUGGGGGAUAUUGCACAAUGGGGGAAACCCUGAUGCAGCGACGCCGCGUGAGUGAUGAAGUAUUUCGGUAUGUAAAGCUCUAUCAGCAGGGAAGAAAAUGACGGUACCUGACUAAGAAGCUCCGGCUAAAUACGUGCCAGCAGCCGCGGUAAUAAGUAUGGAGCAAGCGUUAUCCGGAUUUACUGGGUGUAAAGGGAGCGUAGACGGUGACGCAAGUCUGAAGUGAAAGGUGUGGGCUCAACCCGCAAACUGCUUUGGAAACUGUGUGACUAGAGUGUCGGAGAGGUAAGUGGAAUUCCUAGUGUAGCGGUGAAAUGCGUAGAUAUUAGGAGGAACACCAGUGGCGAAGGCGGCUUACUGGACGAUAACUGACGUUGAGGCUCGAAAGCGUGGGGAGCAAACAGGAUUAGAUACCCUGGUA
RNAcentral lists this ribosomal RNA (434 nucleotides) under uncultured bacterium. RNAcentral's name for it is "partial 16S ribosomal RNA". It matches the Rfam family "Bacterial small subunit ribosomal RNA", at positions 341 to 792 of the family's 1533-position model. The record is from RNAcentral.